GGGCCCGUAGCUCAGCCUGGUAGAGCGGCGGGCUCUUAACCCGUAGGUCGUGGGUUCGAAUCCCACCGGGCCCG
Pyrobaculum aerophilum str. IM2 is the source of this 74-nucleotide transfer RNA. It matches the Rfam family "tRNA". Rfam says of the family: Transfer RNA (tRNA) molecules are approximately 80 nucleotides in length. Their secondary structure includes four short double-helical elements and three loops (D, anti-codon, and T loops). NCBI's taxonomy places the organism in Archaea, Thermoproteati, Thermoproteota, Thermoprotei, Thermoproteales, Thermoproteaceae. The record is from Rfam.